RNAcentral lists this ribosomal RNA (253 nucleotides) under uncultured bacterium. RNAcentral's name for it is "partial 16S ribosomal RNA". It matches the Rfam family "Bacterial small subunit ribosomal RNA", at positions 524 to 776 of the family's 1533-position model. The record is from RNAcentral.
UACGUAGGGUGCAAGCGUUGUCCGGAAUUAUUGGGCGUAAAGAGCUCGUAGGUGGCCUGUCGCGUCGGCUGUGAAAACUCGGGGCUCAACUCCGAGCUUGCAGUCGAUACGGGCAGGCUAGAGUUCGGCAGGGGAGACUGGAAUUCCUGGUGUAGCGGUGAAAUGCGCAGAUAUCAGGAGGAACACCAGUGGCGAAGGCGGCUUCCUGGUCUGCGACUGACGCUGUGGCGCGAAAGCUAGGGGAGCAAACGGG